This 282-nucleotide long non-coding RNA is filed under the name Ananas comosus (pineapple). RNAcentral's name for it is "long non-coding RNA (ACOM_LNC015203)". Lineage: Eukaryota; Viridiplantae; Streptophyta; Magnoliopsida; Poales; Bromeliaceae. The record is from RNAcentral.
UAUCGUAGGGUUACUAUACUCUUAUGAGUACAGAGCCCUUCGUACUCAUAAGUUAUUUUCGAUGUUGGGCUUUUCGAUCGACGAUCCAUACCGGUAAAAAUGAUCUAGAGUAUUUGAAACUUCUAGAAAAUAAAUUUCGUAAUUUUCAAAAUCAUUACAAAGUCUAUCAAGCGGGUAUAAAAUGAACGGUUAAAAUCGAAUGACAUCUUAAAAAUGGAUGAUCGGAUCCUUCAAUUUAAGAUCAGAGUUAUUGAUCUUUAUUUAGGUAGUGAAUAGAAUUUU